CAAUAGCGUAUAUUAAAGUUGUUGCAGUUAAAAAGCUCGUAGUUGGAUUUCUGGUGGGAGCGAUCGGUCUGGCGCUUAGCGCGAGUACUUGCAUCGUCUCCGGCCAUCCUUGGGGAGAGUCUGUCUGGCAUUAAGUUGUCGGGCAGAGGAUCCUCAUCGUUUACUGUGAAAAAAUUAGAGUGUUCAAAGCAGGCUUAUGCCGUUGAAUAUAUUAGCAUGGAAUAAUAAGAUAGGACUUUGGUACUAUUUUGUUGGUUUGCGCACCAAAGUAAUGAUUAAUAGGGACAGUUGGGGGUAUUCGUAUUCCGUUGUCAGAGGUGAAAUUCUUGGAUUUACGGAAAACGAACUACUGCGAAAGCAUUUACCAAGGAUGUUUUCAUUAA
RNAcentral lists this ribosomal RNA (383 nucleotides) under uncultured eukaryote. Its description in RNAcentral is "partial 18S ribosomal RNA". It matches the Rfam family "Eukaryotic small subunit ribosomal RNA", at positions 592 to 976 of the family's 1831-position model. The record is from RNAcentral.